UACGUAGGGUGCAAGCGUUAAUCGGAAUUACUGGGCGUAAAGCGUGCGCAGGCGGUGAUGUAAGACAGGUGUGAAAUCCCCGGGCUUAACCUGGGAACUGCAUUUGUGACUGCAUCGCUGGAGUGCGGUAGAGGGGGAUGGAAUUCCGCGUGUAGCAGUGAAAUGCGUAGAUAUGCGGAGGAACACCGAUGGCGAAGGCAAUCCCCUGGACCUGUACUGACGCUCAUGCACGAAAGCGUGGGGAGCAAACAGG
This 253-nucleotide ribosomal RNA is filed under the name uncultured bacterium. Its description in RNAcentral is "partial 16S ribosomal RNA". It matches the Rfam family "Bacterial small subunit ribosomal RNA", at positions 524 to 776 of the family's 1533-position model. The record is from RNAcentral.